GACGUAGGGGGCCAGCGUUGUCCGGAUUUAUUGGGCGUAAAGAGUUCGUAGGUGGUUUGUUAAGUCUGAUGUUAAAGAUCGGGGCCCAACCCCGGGAGUGCAUUGGAUACUGGCAGACUCGAGUACGGUAGAGGUAAGUGGAAUUCCCAGUGUAGCGGUGAAAUGCGUAGAUAUUGGGAAGAACACCAGUGGCGUAGGCGACUUACUGGGCCGUAACUGACACUGAGGAACGAAAGCCAGGGGAGCGAAUGGG
Molecule: ribosomal RNA, 253 nt
Filed under: uncultured bacterium
Lineage: Bacteria
Description: partial 16S ribosomal RNA
Rfam family: Bacterial small subunit ribosomal RNA
Source: RNAcentral